UAAAUCAAUAUAUUCAAUAUAAUUUCUAUAACUUCUUCUAAAAUAUUAUCUUCAUUAUUAGUCCAUAUUCACAAGCUUCUUCCCUUCAACAUACCUUAAAGAUACACAUCACUCCCAAAUAAAUAAUAUAUGUCUAAAAACAUAUUCUUUUCUUGAGCUUUUAAGUUAUCAAAGCUUAUUCUUAAUAUAUUCUAUAUCUUAU
This 202-nucleotide long non-coding RNA is filed under the name Physcomitrium patens. Its description in RNAcentral is "long non-coding RNA (PPAT_LNC004090)". Lineage: Eukaryota; Viridiplantae; Streptophyta; Bryopsida; Funariales; Funariaceae. The record is from RNAcentral.